GCCUGGGUGGCUCAGUUGGUUAAGCAUCUGACUUGGACUCAGGUCAUGAUCUCAGUUUGUGAGUUUGAGCCCCAUGUCAGGCU
This is a transfer RNA of Felis catus (domestic cat), 83 nucleotides long. It matches the Rfam family "tRNA". Rfam says of the family: Transfer RNA (tRNA) molecules are approximately 80 nucleotides in length. Their secondary structure includes four short double-helical elements and three loops (D, anti-codon, and T loops). Further hydrogen bonds mediate the characteristic L-shaped molecular structure. tRNAs have two regions of fundamental functional importance: the anti-codon, which is responsible for specific mRNA codon recognition, and the 3' end, to which the tRNAs corresponding amino acid is attached (by aminoacyl-tRNA synthetases). tRNAs cope with the degeneracy of the genetic code in two manners: having more than one tRNA (with a specific anti-codon) for a particular amino acid; and 'wobble' base-pairing, i.e. permitting non-standard base-pairing at the 3rd anti-codon position. The record is from Rfam. Lineage: Eukaryota; Metazoa; Chordata; Mammalia; Carnivora; Felidae.